RNAcentral lists this ribosomal RNA (1224 nucleotides) under Microbacterium testaceum. Its description in RNAcentral is "bacterial SSU rRNA". It matches the Rfam family "Bacterial small subunit ribosomal RNA", at positions 82 to 1318 of the family's 1533-position model. Lineage: Bacteria; Bacillati; Actinomycetota; Actinomycetes; Micrococcales; Microbacteriaceae. The record is from RNAcentral.
GCUUGGUGGAUCAGUGGCGAACGGGUGAGUAACACGUGAGCAACCUGCCCUGGACUCUGGGAUAAGCGCUGGAAACGGCGUCUAAUACUGGAUAUGAGACGUGAUCGCAUGGUCGUGUUUGGAAAGAUUUUUCGGUCUGGGAUGGGCUCGCGGCCUAUCAGCUUGUUGGUGAGGUAAUGGCUCACCAAGGCGUCGACGGGUAGCCGGCCUGAGAGGGUGACCGGCCACACUGGGACUGAGACACGGCCCAGACUCCUACGGGAGGCAGCAGUGGGGAAUAUUGCACAAUGGGCGAAAGCCUGAUGCAGCAACGCCGCGUGAGGGAUGACGGCCUUCGGGUUGUAAACCUCUUUUAGCAGGGAAGAAGCGAAAGUGACGGUACCUGCAGAAAAAGCGCCGGCUAACUACGUGCCAGCAGCCGCGGUAAUACGUAGGGCGCAAGCGUUAUCCGGGAAUUAUUGGGCGUAAAGAGCUCGUAGGCGGUUUGUCGCGUCUGCUGUGAAAUCCCGAGGCUCAACCUCGGGCCUGCAGUGGGUACGGGCAGACUAGAGUGCGGUAGGGGAGAUUGGAAUUCCUGGUGUAGCGGUGGAAUGCGCAGAUAUCAGGAGGAACACCGAUGGCGAAGGCAGAUCUCUGGGCCGUAACUGACGCUGAGGAGCGAAAGGGUGGGGAGCAAACAGGCUUAGAUACCCUGGUAGUCCACCCCGUAAACGUUGGGAACUAGUUGUGGGGACCAUUCCACGGUUUCCGUGACGCAGCUAACGCAUUAAGUUCCCCGCCUGGGGAGUACGGCCGCAAGGCUAAAACUCAAAGGAAUUGACGGGGACCCGCACAAGCGGCGGAGCAUGCGGAUUAAUUCGAUGCAACGCGAAGAACCUUACCAAGGCUUGACAUAUACGAGAACGGGCCAGAAAUGGUCAACUCUUUGGACACUCGUAAACAGGUGGUGCAUGGUUGUCGUCAGCUCGUGUCGUGAGAUGUUGGGUUAAGUCCCGCAACGAGCGCAACCCUCGUUCUAUGUUGCCAGCACGUAAUGGUGGGAACUCAUGGGAUACUGCCGGGGUCAACUCGGAGGAAGGUGGGGAUGACGUCAAAUCAUCAUGCCCCUUAUGUCUUGGGCUUCACGCAUGCUACAAUGGCCGGUACAAAGGGCUGCAAUACCGUGAGGUGGAGCGAAUCCCAAAAAGCCGGUCCCAGUUCGGAUUGAGGUCUGCAACUCGACCU